Molecule: long non-coding RNA, 380 nt
Organism: Mercurialis annua (annual mercury)
Lineage: Eukaryota; Viridiplantae; Streptophyta; Magnoliopsida; Malpighiales; Euphorbiaceae
Exons: 2
Source: RefSeq, a predicted model, not a curated record
UACUCUUUAGAGUUAGGGUCUGAUUUUAAUGAUGACUUUAAUAUUUUAUUUAGACCCGUCGACUGUUCGUACUUCAGAAGCGAACCAGAGUUAGAUUGCUUGUCAAGUUUCACGUGGAAUAGCAAGCAGUUUAUGAUUUGAGCUUUGGUCGAUCUCCGUUUCUUCAUUUCCGGAGGUUUUUAUUUUAUUUUCAGAAAUAAAGAGUCGAACUGUUUUAAACUCUUAGACCGCAGUAGUAGUAUAGAUUAAUUAUGAUUAGUCUUUUAUUAUAUUUUCAGACUAUUGAUUGUUAGUGAUUACUUUAUCGUUUUUGGCAUGAUUACAGUAUUUAUGGUAUUUAUAUUAUAUUGCCAUACUGUUGGAGUUAUAAUUUCAGAUAA